Molecule: ribosomal RNA, 476 nt
Filed under: uncultured anaerobic ammonium-oxidizing bacterium
Lineage: Bacteria
Description: bacterial SSU rRNA
Rfam family: Bacterial small subunit ribosomal RNA
Source: RNAcentral
UUCGCAAUGCCCGAAAGGGUGACGAUGCGACGCCGCGUGAGCGAAGAAGGCCCUAGGGUUGUAAAGCUCUGUCGAAGGUUAUGAAAUAUAGAUGGGUUAAUACCCCAUUUAUUUGACAAAAGCCCAAAAGGAAGCCACGGCUAACUCUGUGCCAGCAGCCGCGGUAAUACAGAGGUGGCGAGCGUUGUUCGGUAUUAUUGGGCGUAAAGAGCACGUAGGUGGUUUUGUAAGUCAGGUGUGAAAGCCUUCUGUUCAAAGGAAGAACGGCAUCUGAAACUGCAGAUCUUGAGUGUAGGAGGGGAGAGUGGAACUUCUGGUGGAGCGGUGAAAUGCGUAGAUAUCAGAAGGAACGUCGGCGGCGAAAGCGACUCUCUGGCCUAUUACUGACACUGAGGUGCGAAAGUUAGGGGAGCAAACGGGAUUAGAUACCCCGGUAGUCCUAACCGUAAACGAUGGGCACUAAGUAGAGGGGUUUU